Molecule: ribosomal RNA, 301 nt
Filed under: uncultured bacterium
Lineage: Bacteria
Description: partial 16S ribosomal RNA
Rfam family: Bacterial small subunit ribosomal RNA
Source: RNAcentral
CAGUCGCCGCGGGAAUACGUAGGUGGCAAGCGUUGUCCGGAUUUAUUGGGCGUAAAGCGAGCGCAGGCGGUCAAUCAAGUCUGAUGUGAAAGCCCCCGGCUCAACCGGGGAGGGUCAUUGGAAACUGGUUGACUUGAGUGCAGAAGAGGAGAGUGGAAUCCCAUGUGUAGCGGUGAAAUGCGUAGAUAUAUGGAGGAACACCAGUGGCGAAGGCGACUCUCUGGUCUGUAACUGACGCUGAGGAGCGAAAGCGUGGGGAGCGAACAGGAUUAGAUACCCCUGUAGUCCCUGUCUCUUAUAC